Molecule: ribosomal RNA, 486 nt
Filed under: uncultured bacterium
Lineage: Bacteria
Description: partial 16S ribosomal RNA
Rfam family: Bacterial small subunit ribosomal RNA
Source: RNAcentral
AUUGAACGCUGGCGGCAUGCCUUACACAUGCAAGUCGAACGGCAGCACGGGUGCUUGCACCUGGUGGCGAGUGGCGAACGGGUGAGUUAUACAUCGGAACAUGUCCUGUAGAGGGGGGUAGCCCGGCGAAAGCCGGAUUAAUACAGCAUACGAACUACGGAUGAAAGCGGGUGACCUUCGGAACUCGCGCUAUAAUGUUGCCAGAUGGCUGAUUAGCUAGUUGGUGGGGUAAAGGCCUACCAAGGCGACGAUCAGGAGCUGGUCGGAGAGGACGACCAGCCAAACUGGAACUGAGACACGGCCCAGACUCCUACGGGAGGCAGCAGUGGGGAAUUUUGGACAAUGGGCGAAAGCCUGAUCCAGCAAGGCCGCGUGUGUGAAGAAGUUCUUCGGGUUGUAAAGCCCGUUUGUCCGGAAAGAAAUCCUUGGCCCUAAUACGGUCAGGGGAUGACGGUACCGGAAGAAUAAGCACCGGCUAACUACGUG